AGAGUUUGAUCCUGGCUCGGAACGAACGCUGGCGGCGUGCCUCAUACAUGCAAGUCGAGCGAGAACGGUUCCUUCGGGGACUUAUUAAAGCGGCAAACGGGUGAGUAACACGUGGGAAACCUGCCCUCGGGUUUGGGACAAGCUUGCGAAAGCGAGUCUAAUACCGGAUAACGUCAUUUGAUCGCAUGGUUGAAUGACCAAAGUAGUGAUACGCCUGAGGAUGGUCCCGCGCCCCAUUAGCUUGAUGGUAGGGUAAUGGCCUACCAUGGCUGCGAUGGGUAGCCGGCCUGAGAGGGUGAUCGGCCACACUGGGACUGAGAUACGGCCCAGACUCCUACGGGAGGCAGCAGUAGGGAAUAUUGCGCAAUGGUCUAACGGCUGACGCAGCAACGCCGCGUGGAUGACGAAGCUUUUAGGAGUGUAAAAUCCUUUCAGUGGGGAAGAAUGUCUCUUCGGAGGCUUGACGGUACCCACAGAAGAAGCACCGGCUAACUCCGUGCCAGCAGCCGCGGUAAUACGGAGGGUGCAAGCGUUGUUCGGAUUUACUGGGCGUAAAGCGCACGUAGGCGGACUGUCAAGUCGGGUGUGAAAACCAGAGGCUUAACCUCUGGCCUGCACUCGAAACUGAUAGUCUUGAGUACCGGAGAGGAUGGCGGAAUUCCUGGUGUAGCGGUGAAAUGCGUAGAUAUCAGGAAGAACACCGGCGGCGAAGGCGGCCAUCUGGACGGAUACUGACGCUCAGGUGCGAAGGCUAGGGGAGCAAACGGGAUUAGAUACCCUGGUAGUCCUAGCGGUAAACGAUGGGCACUAGGUGUUGGCGGUAUCGACUCCGCCAGUGCCGCAGCUAACGCAUUAAGUGCCCCGCCUGGGGAGUACGGCCGCAAGGUUGAAACUCAAAGGAAUUGACGGGGGCCCGCACAAGCGGUGGAGUAUGUGGUUUAAUUCGACGCAACGCGAAGAACCUUACCUGGGUUUGACAUGUACUGGAAAGCUACAGAGAUGUAGGCCCCUCUUCGGAGGCCAGUACACAGGUGCUGCAUGGCUGUCGUCAGCUCGUGCCGUGAGGUGUUGGGUUAAGUCCCGCAACGAGCGCAACCCUUGUCGUUAGUUGCCAUCAGGUAAUGCUGGGAACUCUAACGAGACUGCCGGUGACAAGCCGGAGGAAGGUGGGGAUGACGUCAAGUCCUCAUGGCCCUUACGUCCAGGGCUACACACGUACUACAAUGGCCGACACAAAAGGUCGCAAUACCGCGAGGUGGAGCCAAUCCUCAAAGUCGGUCUCAGUUCAGAUUGGAGUCUGCAACUCGACUCCAUGAAGGAGGAAUCGCUAGUAAUCGCGUAUCAGCAUGACGCGGUGAAUACGUUCCCGGGCCUUGUACACACCGCCCGUCAAGCCAUGGGAGUUGGGAGUACCCGAAACCGUCGACUUAACCUUCGGGAAAGCGGCGUCUAAGGUAAGAUCAACGACUGGGGCUAAGUCGAAACAAGGUA
Molecule: ribosomal RNA, 1491 nt
Filed under: metagenome
Description: bacterial SSU rRNA
Rfam family: Bacterial small subunit ribosomal RNA
Source: RNAcentral